Molecule: ribosomal RNA, 392 nt
Filed under: uncultured bacterium
Lineage: Bacteria
Description: partial 16S ribosomal RNA
Rfam family: Bacterial small subunit ribosomal RNA
Source: RNAcentral
ACACGUAGGGGCCUGACGUUGUUCGGAAUCAUUGGGCGUAAAGGGCGCGCAGGCGGCCGUCCAAGUCCGGUGUUAAAUGGUCGGGCUCAACCCGAUCAUGCGCUGGAAACUGGGCGGCUGGAGUCCCGGAGGGGAUGCCGGAAUUCCAGGCGUAGGGGUGAAAUCUGUAGAUAUCUGGAAGAACACCGAUGGCGAAGGCAGGCAUCUGGCCGGAGACUGACGCUGAGGCGCGAAGGCGCGGGGAGCGAACAGGUUUAGAUACCCUGGUAGUCCGCGCAGUAAACGAUGCGCACCAGGUGUCGGGCGGCAGCGCCCGGUACCGGAGCAAACGCGAUGAGUGCGCCGCCUGGGGAGUAUGCCCGCAAGGGUGAAACUCAAAGGAAUUGACGGGG